This is a non-coding RNA of Phyllosticta citrichinensis, 82 nucleotides long. The record is from the annotation of a GenBank genome assembly. NCBI's taxonomy places the organism in Eukaryota, Fungi, Ascomycota, Dothideomycetes, Botryosphaeriales, Phyllostictaceae.
GGGUUGGUGGUGUAGUGGAAACGCAUGUCGUGGCUACAGUCGCGCCCACGGCAAGUCCCAGGUUCAAGUCCUGGCCAACCUG